GCCUACCCCAGCCCUAUAAAGCUGCCCCUCUCCUAUCUCCCUUCGCUGACUCUCUUUUCAGACUCAGCCCACUUGCACCCAAGUGAAUUAACAGCCUUGUUGCUCACACAAAGCCUGUUUAGGUGGUCUUCUAUACGGACAUGCUUGACACUUGGUGCCAAAAUCUGGGCCAGGGGGACUCCUUCGUGAGACCGGCCCCCUGUCCUGGCCCUCAUUCCGUGAAGAGAUCCACCUGCGACCUCGGGUCCUCAGACCAGCCCAAGGAACAUCUCACCAAUUUCAAAUCGGAUCUCCUCGGCUUAGUGGCUGAAGACUGAUGCUGCCCGAUCGCCUCAGAAGCCCCUUGGACCAUCACAGAUGCCGAGCUUCGGGUAACUCUUACGGUGGAGGGACCCUCUCCAUUGGGUUCACCAUUCCAGAAUAAAGCCAUGCCCAUCAGACAGCCAGCUUGAUCUCUCCUCUUCCUCCUGGAAGCCACAAGAUUAGGCCGAGAGCCGAUCAGACAAACAACCUACAACCCUUAAGCUCCUGGCAGCGCCCAGCCAAGGCCAUGCUUCCUUGCAACACUCCUUCCAAAUGGCCAUCCCAGCAUGCUUCCAAGCAGGCUUCAUCCGUUCCUCUGGACCCUCAUCUCUUAAGACCUGCCGCCUAUAAAAAGGAUUAUAUCUUGAGACCCUAUCCUCUAAAAUUUUUUCCACACCCAAAACAAAAAAUCUCUGGGUCAAAAGUCUAAAACGCUUAGGCUGGCAACCAUCAGAUCCUUGCCCAUGGUGUCCUCAAGCCUACUCUCAUGAAAUGGACAACAGUACACGCAUAUGGGGCCAGUUCCACAUAUUUGGCAACCAGACCAGCAUCCAGGACAACACAAAGAUCUGCAAUCAGAACUAUUGAACUUCUCCAUUCAGACCGCCACUCACACCUAUGGGAAAAGGGUAAUGUAUCAUCGGCUUAGCAACAGGGAAUACUAUUCGUAUGAUGGAAAAUGGGGACAAAAGGCUUUGGUACAUAAAACAUUAUUCCUUCCUUGGCCUAAAAACUCAUCGCCACCUACAUUAAAGCUAAUAUGCCUGAUUACUGUUUUUAGAGAACUUAUUUUAUUAGGGCAGUUCCAAGCUCAAAAAUACGCUAACUGGCACCUUGUUAGCUACAUAAAAAUGCACCCUAGACCCGAAACUUACUAGACUCAUUAUAAAAUUUUCUUUAAGGUGUCCACGCAGUCCCUGGUCACACUUGAAGCAGUCCGGAGAAAUAUCAGCCCUACCCCAGUAAUCCCCAGAAGGAACUUACACUUUUUUUUAAUCUUUUCCUACAACUUCAUAUUUUAUAAAUAAAAAGACAAAAAUGUCAGGCCUGUGAGCUGAAGCUUAGCCAUUGUAACCCCUGUGACCUGCACAUAUCCGUCCAGGUGGCCUGCAGGAGCCAAGAAGUCUGGAGCAGCCGAAAAACCACAAAGAAGUGAAACAGCCAGUUCCUGCCUUAACUAAUUAACCCACCUUACGACAUUCCACCAUUAUGACUUGUCCACCAUUAUGACUUGUUCCUGCCCUGCCCCAACUGAUCAAUCAACCCUGUGACAUUCUUCUCCUGGACAAUGAGUCCCAUCAUCUCUCCACCAUGCACCUUGUGACCCCCUCCUCUGCUGAGGAUAACCACCUUUAACUGUAACUUUCCACGCCUACCCAAGCCCUAUAAAGCUGCCCCUCUCCUAUCUCCCUUCACUGACUCUCUUUUCGGACUCAGCCCACUUGCACCCAAGUGAAUUAACAGCCUUGUUGCUCACACAAAGCCUGAUUGGGUGUCUUCUAUACGGACACGCGUGACAGGAACCUCAACCCAAAGGCAGUCUGAUGAGGUGUCUAAGAUAAAAGUAGCGGCACAAAGGCUUUUGUAAA
Molecule: long non-coding RNA, 1892 nt
Organism: Homo sapiens (human)
Lineage: Eukaryota; Metazoa; Chordata; Mammalia; Primates; Hominidae
Gene: UCA1
Product: urothelial cancer associated 1
Source: Ensembl